RNAcentral lists this ribosomal RNA (497 nucleotides) under uncultured bacterium. RNAcentral describes it as "partial 16S ribosomal RNA". It matches the Rfam family "Bacterial small subunit ribosomal RNA", at positions 28 to 507 of the family's 1533-position model. The record is from RNAcentral.
GACGAACGCUGGCGGCGUGCCUAAUACAUGCAAGUUGAGCGAUGAAGAUUUGUUCUUGCACCAAUUUGAAGAGCAGCGAACGUGUGAGUAACGCGUGUAGAAUCUGCCUUUCAGCGGGGGACAACAUGUGGAAACGAAUGCUAAUACCGCAUAACAUCUUUCAACAUAAGUUUUAAGUUUGAAAGAUGCAAUUGCGUCACUCAAUGAUGAUCCCGCGUUGUAUUAGCAUGUUGGUGAGGUAAAGGCUCUCCAAGGCGGUGAUACAGAGCACAACUGAGAGGGUGGACAGCCAGACUGGGACGGAGACACGGCACAAACGCAUUCAGGAGGCAGCAGUAGGGCAUCGUGGGGAAUGGGCGGAAGUUUGACCGAGCAAGGCCGAGGGAGUGAAGAGGGUCUUCGGAUGGUAAAACUCUGUUGGUAGAGAAGAAAGUUGGUGAGAGUGGAAAGCUGAUCAAGUGACGGUAACUACUAAGAAAGCGACGGCUAACUACGUG